ACACCCGUAUUGUUGGAUUAUGUGGGGUCUGCCCGAGCUUAUCCUUGUUCAUUUUUUAACACAAGCCGGCUCACUGAACCGCGCAUCGCCUCGUGGCCGCGUCUAAAAGAGUGCAGAGAUUUAACGCUGGAAAUGCCCUGAAACGCCCUAAAAAUGGCCGCAGCGCCCCGCAUUGGGGCAA
RNAcentral lists this small RNA (181 nucleotides) under Pseudomonas sp. URMO17WK12:I1. RNAcentral's name for it is "Pseudomonas sRNA P1". The record is from RNAcentral. Lineage: Bacteria; Pseudomonadati; Pseudomonadota; Gammaproteobacteria; Pseudomonadales; Pseudomonadaceae.